Molecule: ribosomal RNA, 375 nt
Filed under: uncultured bacterium
Lineage: Bacteria
Description: bacterial SSU rRNA
Rfam family: Bacterial small subunit ribosomal RNA
Source: RNAcentral
UAAUACGUAGGGUGCGAGCGUUAAUCGGAAUUACUGGGCGUAAAGCGUGCGCAGGCGGUUUUGUAAGCCAGAUGUGAAAUCCCCGGGCUUAACCUGGGAAUGGCAUUUGGGACUGCAAGGCUGGAGUUUGGCAGAGGAGACUGGAAUUCCUGGUGUAGCAGUGAAAUGCGUAGAUAUCAGGAGGAACACCGAUGGCGAAGGCAGGUCUCUGGGCUGAAACUGACGCUCAUGCACGAAAGCGUGGGGAGCAAACAGGAUUAGAUACCCUGGUAGUCCACGCCCUAAACGAUGUCAACUGGUUGUUGGGUCUUCACUGACUCAGUAACGAAGCUAACGCGUGAAGUUGACCGCCUGGGGAGUACGGCCGCAAGGUUG